CGCGUCGGUAACUUUGCGCCGAAACAUUUUCCCAUUAGCGACUAGCGCUACACGAAAGGUGGCGAAUUAACGAAUUUCCAACUGAAAAAUGGCGGUGUUUAUAUACGUGCACUCGUAAAUAAUGCAAUAUAGAACAGUAUAAAUGGUAUGUUUCCCCAAGAGAAACAACAAAACGAUCAGCAACGGCUGCUGGAAAGGAACGAUUGAUUGUUAUCCGAUAAUAGAAACAAAACAGGCCAGCGAACCGGCUAAUACGCCACUUCAAUUCCCAACGAUGACAGAAAGUUUACGUUACGAUGUUUGUUUAAUGGAAUGCAAUAAUAUUACGCGGGUAAUUAGCCAGUGCAUUUUCAAGUGUCAUCUUUUCGAAUGUAAAAAGUUUCGUGAUUGGUUCUCUUCAUGCUCGAAGACCGUCGCAUACAGAGAAUUCGAUAUGACGAUACUUCUGAUGUGAAUGCUACUAUUCUCGUUAGAAACAUAUACUCCUCGAGUAACUAAUUUCUAGAACGGUCCGAAAAAGUUAUGAAGUACUUUUCAAAAUGCAUCGCGUCGCUUCGUACAUCCAAAUGGGUUGAAAGACAUUUGUUUUGAGAUAUUUUUUUUAUCUUUUAUAAAGUUGAACAUUGAAAUGUGAAUAUUGUAAAAGGUAAUUAUCAAUCGCAAUGACUUAACAACAAAGACUUAAUAACAAACGGAAUCCCAUUAAACGAAAAAUAAUGCCGGUAUGUAAAGUAUUUCGGCAAUGCGAAAUACAUUUCCCUGGAAAUAUUUUUCUUUCAUUCAUUUCAUGGCAUCAAUGGCAAAGUAAAGAAGAUAGAAAAGAAGUAGUACGGGAACAGAUGAUUGAAAACGGGAGAGAAGGACGAAGAUAGGAUGAAGUUCACUCUGACAACUUGCUUCAAGCGUUUCUCAGGCUAAAUCCACGCCACAAGGAAGCAAGAGUUUCAUCUGAACGCGUCCUACCGCGACAUCAAAGAUGGCGUGCGGAGCACACAUUCUGUAAUGAGUUGAAUCGCGGGUAGA
Apis florea (little honeybee) is the source of this 1023-nucleotide unclassified non-coding RNA. The record is from RefSeq and is a predicted model, not a curated record. NCBI's taxonomy places the organism in Eukaryota, Metazoa, Arthropoda, Insecta, Hymenoptera, Apidae.